Molecule: ribosomal RNA, 514 nt
Filed under: Escherichia coli
Lineage: Bacteria; Pseudomonadati; Pseudomonadota; Gammaproteobacteria; Enterobacterales; Enterobacteriaceae
Description: bacterial SSU rRNA
Rfam family: Bacterial small subunit ribosomal RNA
Source: RNAcentral
GUGAGGGCGGCAGCUACACAUGCAGUCGAACGGUAACAGGAACAAGCUUGCUUCUUCGCUGACGAGUGGCGGACGGGUGAGUAAUGUCUGGGAAACUGCCUGAUGGAGGGGGAUAACUACUGGAAACGGUAGCUAAUACCGCAUAACGUCACAAGACCAAAGAGGGGGAGCUUCUGGCCUCUUGCCAUCUGAUGUGCCCAGAUGGGAUUAGCUAGUAGGUGGGGUAACGGCUCACCUAGGCGACGAUCCCUAGCUGGUCUGAAAGGAUGACCAGCCACACUGGAACUGAGACACGGUCCAGACUCCUACGGGAGGCAGCAGUGGGGAAUAUUGCACAAUGGGCGCAAGCCUGAUGCAGCCAUGCCGCGUGUAUGAACAAGGCCUUCGGGUUGUAAAGUACUUUCAGCGGGGAGGAAGGGAGUAAAGUUAAUACCUUUGCUCAUUGACGUUACGCGCAGAAUAAGCACCGUCUAACUCCGUGCCAGCAACCGCGGUAAUACGGAGGGUCUUAGCU